AUGGCGGGUGCUAUACUGCAGUCGAGCGAAUGGAUUAAGAGCUUGCUCUUAUGAAGUUAGCGGCGGACGGGUGAGUAACACGUGGGUAACCUGCCCAUAAGACUGGGAUAACUCCGGGAAACCGGGGCUAAUACCGGAUAACAUUUUGCACCGCAUGGUGCGAAAUUGAAAGGCGGCUUCGGCUGUCACUUAUGGAUGGACCCGCGUCGCAUUAGCUAGUUGGUGAGGUAACGGCUCACCAAGGCAACGAUGCGUAGCCGACCUGAGAGGGUGAUCGGCCACACUGGGACUGAGACACGGCCCACACUCCUACGGGAGGCAGCAGUAGGGAAUCUUCCGCAAUGGACGAAAGUCUGACGGAGCAACGCCGCGUGAGUGAUGAAGGCUUUCGGGUCGUAAAACUCUGUUGUUAGGGAAGAACAAGUGCUAGUUGAAUAAGCUGGCACCUUGACGGUACCUAACCAGAAAGCCACGGCUAACUACGUGCCAGCAGCCGCGGUAAUACGUAGGUGGCAAGCGUUAUCCGGAAUUAUUGGGCGUAAAGCGCGCGCAGGUGGUUUCUUAAGUCUGAUGUGAAAGCCCACGGCUCACCGUGGAGGGUCAUUGGUAACUGGAGACUUGAGUGCAGACGAGGAUAGUGAUUCCAUGUGUAGCGGAAAUAUGCGCAUUAAAAGGA
Molecule: ribosomal RNA, 676 nt
Filed under: Bacillus sp. MUR8
Lineage: Bacteria; Bacillati; Bacillota; Bacilli; Caryophanales; Bacillaceae
Description: bacterial SSU rRNA
Rfam family: Bacterial small subunit ribosomal RNA
Source: RNAcentral